This 82-nucleotide transfer RNA is filed under the name Heliophilum fasciatum. It matches the Rfam family "tRNA". Rfam says of the family: Transfer RNA (tRNA) molecules are approximately 80 nucleotides in length. Their secondary structure includes four short double-helical elements and three loops (D, anti-codon, and T loops). Further hydrogen bonds mediate the characteristic L-shaped molecular structure. tRNAs have two regions of fundamental functional importance: the anti-codon, which is responsible for specific mRNA codon recognition, and the 3' end, to which the tRNAs corresponding amino acid is attached (by aminoacyl-tRNA synthetases). tRNAs cope with the degeneracy of the genetic code in two manners: having more than one tRNA (with a specific anti-codon) for a particular amino acid; and 'wobble' base-pairing, i.e. permitting non-standard base-pairing at the 3rd anti-codon position. Lineage: Bacteria; Bacillati; Bacillota; Clostridia; Eubacteriales; Heliobacteriaceae. The record is from Rfam by way of RNAcentral.
GGAGAGGUUCCCGAGUGGCUAAAGGGAGCAGACUGUAAAUCUGCCGGCUCUGCCUUCGUUGGUUCGAAUCCAACCCUCUCCA